GCGUUAAGUUGCAGGGUAUAGACCCGAAACCCGGUGAUCUAGCCAUGGGCAGGUUGAAGGUUGGGUAACACUAACUGGAGGACCGAACCGACUAAUGUUGAAAAAUUAGCGGAUGACCUGUGGCUGGGGGUGAAAGGCCAAUCAAACCGGGAGAUAGCUGGUUCUCCCCGAAAGCUAUUUAGGUAGCGCCUCGUGAAUUCAUCUCCGGGGGUAGAGCACUGUUUCGGCUAGGGGGCCAUCCCGGCUUACCAACCCGAUGCAAACUGCGAAUACCGGAGAAUGUUAUCACGGGAGACACACGGCGGGUGCUAACGUCCGUCGUGAAGAGGGAAACAACCCAGACCGCCAGCUAAGGUCCCAAAGUCAUGGUUAAGUGGGAAACGAUGUGGGAAGGCCCAGACAGCCAGGAUGUUGGCUUAGAAGCAGCCAUCAUUUAAAGAAAGCGUAAUAGCUCACUGGUCGAGUCGGCCUGCGCGGAAGAUGUAACGGGGCUAAACCAUGCACCGAAGCUGCGGCAGCGAACGUAUCACCCAAGACAACUUUACGGAGUUGACGAUUGACGGAGCGAAGCGACGUCAAAGCGUUCAUUAAAGUCGAGUUGGCUUAGGGAUACGUUCGUUGGGUAGGGGAGCGUUCUGUAAGCCUGUGAAGGUGUGUCGUGAGGC
RNAcentral lists this ribosomal RNA (665 nucleotides) under Listeria monocytogenes. RNAcentral's name for it is "partial 23S ribosomal RNA". It matches the Rfam family "Bacterial large subunit ribosomal RNA", at positions 692 to 1269 of the family's 2925-position model. Lineage: Bacteria; Bacillati; Bacillota; Bacilli; Caryophanales; Listeriaceae. The record is from RNAcentral.